GCACCGGAUGGGAGUUAUACCGCAGUGACCCAGAACCGGACAUCGAAGGAGAGCGAUGUCAGAUGUCCGGACGGUGC
RNAcentral lists this non-coding RNA (77 nucleotides) under unclassified sequences. RNAcentral describes it as "CyVA-1 RNA". It matches the Rfam family "CyVA-1 RNA". From Rfam's summary of the family: Cyanobacteria, Acidobacteria (1 example), Verrucomicrobia (1 example). The record is from Rfam by way of RNAcentral.